RNAcentral lists this ribosomal RNA (459 nucleotides) under uncultured bacterium. RNAcentral's name for it is "partial 16S ribosomal RNA". It matches the Rfam family "Bacterial small subunit ribosomal RNA", at positions 338 to 795 of the family's 1533-position model. The record is from RNAcentral.
CCUACGGGAGGCAGCAGUGAGGAAUAUUGGUCAAUGGCCGGAAGUCUGAACCAGCCAAGCCGCGUGAAGGACGAAGGUGCCAAGCAUUGUAAACUUCUUUUGUCAAGGGACAAAAUCAGGCUCGAGAGCCUGACCGAGCUGACUUGAAGCAAAAGCAUCGGCUAACCCCGUGCCAGCAGCCGCUGUAAUACGGGGGGUGCGAGCGUUAUCCGGUUUUAGUGGGUUAAAAGGGUGCGUAGGCGGACUGUUAAGUCAGCGGUAAAAGCCCGGGGCUCAACCCCGGCGAGCCGUUGAAACUGGGUGUCUUGAGAUGUCGAGAGGUAUGCGGAAUGCGCAGUGUAGCGGUGAAAUGCUUAGAUAUUUCGAAGAACUCCGAUUGCGAAGGCAGCAUACCGGCGGCGAUCUGACGCUGAGGCACGAAAGCGUGGGUAUCGAACAGGAUUAGAUACCCGGGUAGUC